This is a long non-coding RNA of Xenopus tropicalis (tropical clawed frog), 661 nucleotides long. RefSeq lists it as uncharacterized. The transcript is spliced from 6 exons. The record is from RefSeq and is a predicted model, not a curated record. NCBI's taxonomy places the organism in Eukaryota, Metazoa, Chordata, Amphibia, Anura, Pipidae.
ACUGCAACUUGCAUUUAGGCACCUAUGUUAGUAAAUGAGCCCUAGUACCAAUUUAACCCCCUAGGUACCAAAUGGAAUCCCAGCCUGAGUGUUAGUAAGCGUGAGAUUUCGGGGGAACACUUUGAAUGGGGCCCCUCAUGCAAUGUUGCACGUUAAAAUGGUAAAUGCAUUAUCCAUGAAGCUGACUUGCCCUUUUUAUUCCCGUCUCUAUACAGAUUGCUGCGGUGUGCGACUAGUUGGCGUUUUGCUGCUUCGGCGCUUAACCAGUUUUUUUAGACUGUGAUUUUUCUGGCUUCUCCUCAGUUCACCUUUUCCAUCUUUAGUUGAACGAGCCUAGAGGAGAGCCAGCACCUACUGAGGGGGUCCCUUAGGGACUCCGGCCCUGGGCCGGCCCCUCCAUUCCAUCUUUUUUUUUUUUAACAUCACCUGGAGAGCUUCAUUUAAGAGCGAGCGAUGAACAAAGUGUUCAAGCGUUUGAGGCGUUUUUUCCCUUGCUUCGGCAAGGAGGAGCCCACUGAGGAGCCCCAGGAAUUUAUCUGCCUGGUACCAUCGGUUGGAUCUGGCAACGCCGUUUGCCAAGAGGAGAAACCAGAGCACAAAAUGGAGCCGGCUAUAGACAACUGCCGGGAGACUCCAGAGAUCCCUGACACGGACAUCUGUC